Molecule: ribosomal RNA, 507 nt
Filed under: uncultured bacterium
Lineage: Bacteria
Description: bacterial SSU rRNA
Rfam family: Bacterial small subunit ribosomal RNA
Source: RNAcentral
UGGCUCAGAACGAACGCUGGCGGCGCGUUUAAGCAUGCAAGUCGAGCGGCAAGGGCCUUCGGGCCCCUAGAGCGGCGGACGGGUGAGUAACACGUGGACAAUCUGCCCCCCGGCCCGGGAUAGCCCAGGGAAACCUGGAUUAAUACCGGAUGAGACGGGACCCGCGAUGGCGGGAUCCGGGAAAGGCGCUGCGGCGCCGCCGGGGGAUGAGUCUGCGUCCCAUUAGCUAGACGGCGGGGUAACGGCCCACCGUGGCGACGAUGGGUAGCCGGCCUGAGAGGGUGGACGGCCACAUUGGAACUGAGACACGGUCCAGACUCCUACGGGAGGCAGCAGCUAAGAAUCUUCCGCAAUGGGCGAAAGCCUGACGGAGCGACGCCGCGUGAACGAAGAAGGCCGUGAGGUUGUAAAGUUCUUUUCGGGAGGGGGAACAACCGUGGCAGGGAAUGGCCGCGGGAUGACGUGAAUCCCGGAAUAAGCCCCGGCUAACUACGUGCCAGCAGCAGC